GAGCAGGGAGUGGCACUUGAUCCAAAGAGAGCCUCUGAAAUGGCUGCACCCGAUAUCUCAGCAGGUUACCCCAUAGAGUGUUGAGUGGGCAACUCAAUUAUUCCCUCACCUGAAGAAGUCUGAAAGCAAGACGAAGAGAGUCCUUUUGCAAGAGUGAUGUACAAAGCCCUACGGACAUACAGACUUCGUGUGCAAGUCCUGUGGAGGAGAGGAGAUGAGAGAGCAAUCGGUUGGUGGCAUCUGGGGACAUUAAACAGUGACGUGGACACAGUGAUGGCCUGCAGUGGUGAACCAGUGAGGGAACAAGUCCUAUGGUUGGGGAGCUACCUGAGGCUGGAGAGCAGAGUACAGCCAGGCCCACAGUGGUGCAGCAUACCAGAGUCAAGGUCUCACUAGGAUGUCCAGGCUGGCCUCGAACUCCUGGGCUCAAGCAAUCCACCUGCCUUGGCCUCUGAAAGUGCAGGAAUUACAGCCUUAUCCAAAAUCUCUGGAGGUAACACCAGUGGAAGCAACCUUAGAAGAGGAAUGAGUUGGCAGGAGGCAAGAGGCAGGAAAGCACUGAGAAUGUUUCAUCAUGAGAUGUGAGCAUCAUGUUCCAGGCCCUGAGUGCUUCAUAAAAAAAAAAGUUCCUUUUCCACCAAAACAAUGCCCUGAUUUGAGUGCUUCAUCAAAAGAGAAAGAUUUCUCAUGAUAAACCAUAUUCUAAGCACUUAGAUCACAAUAUAGUAAAUUUUCAAAAGGAAGUCACUUUUGCCAAGAUAUAAAGGCUCAUAGAGCUCAAAGAGCAUCCUAUCUGAUAUGCACCAGGCAACAACUGAGAACAAGGACCAGCCAAAGUCAUCAGAAGGGUAGCACAGUUGCUGCUAGCAGCUGCUGUGCCCUGAGGGGUGAGGGAAAUGUGGUCGCCUAAAACACCAUCAAAGGUUGCUGCUUAAACACUUCCCUCAGCCAUAUAUGAAGGCUAAAUCAGAUAAAGAUCCCAGGAAGUGUGCAACAGGCAAUUGCAGCCAUUCUCAAAAGGAUCCUGUCUUCCCAAAAUAAAUGUCUGCUCCACUUGAGUUAAAA
Molecule: long non-coding RNA, 1065 nt
Organism: Homo sapiens (human)
Lineage: Eukaryota; Metazoa; Chordata; Mammalia; Primates; Hominidae
Source: Ensembl